RNAcentral lists this transfer RNA (74 nucleotides) under Ardeotis kori. Its description in RNAcentral is "tRNA-Glu". The record is from RNAcentral. Lineage: Eukaryota; Metazoa; Chordata; Aves; Otidiformes; Otididae.
GUUCCUAUAGUUAAGAGUUGCAUUAACGGUGGCUUUUCAGGCCACAGACCUUGGGGAGGAGCCAAGUGGGAAUA